CCUACGGGGUGCAGCAGUGGGGAAUAUUGGGCAAUGGACGCAAGUCUGACCCAGCAACGCCGCGUGAAGGAAGAAGGCUUUCUGGUUGUAAACUUCUUUUAAGGGGGAAGAGCAGAAGACGGUACCCCUUGAAUAAGCCACGGCUAACUACGUGCCAGCAGCCGCGGUAAUACGUAGGUGGCAAGCUGUGUCCGGAUUUACUGGGUGUAAAGGGCGUGCAGCCGGAGAGACAAGUCAGAUGUGAAAUCCACGGGCUCAACCCGUGAACUGCAUUUGAAACUGGUUCCCUUGAGUGUCGGAGAGGUAAUCGGAAUGCGGAGUGUAGCGGUGAAAGGCGUAGAUAUUAGGAAGAACACCAGUGGCGAAGGCGGAUUACUGGACGAUAACUGACGGUGAGGCGCGAAAGCGUGGGGAGCAAACAGGAUUAGAUACCCUGGUAGUC
This 442-nucleotide ribosomal RNA is filed under the name uncultured bacterium. Its description in RNAcentral is "partial 16S ribosomal RNA". It matches the Rfam family "Bacterial small subunit ribosomal RNA", at positions 338 to 795 of the family's 1533-position model. The record is from RNAcentral.